This is a long non-coding RNA of Pteropus alecto (black flying fox), 3715 nucleotides long. RefSeq lists it as uncharacterized. The record is from RefSeq and is a predicted model, not a curated record. The transcript is spliced from 3 exons. Lineage: Eukaryota; Metazoa; Chordata; Mammalia; Chiroptera; Pteropodidae.
GCCCGGGAACUCCCUAACCGGCCCGGCUCCGCGUCCCUCCGGGUCCUAGCGCUUGCGCGCCUGCGCGAGCUCUAACUGCGAGGGGCUGCCAGGGGAGGCGCGGGACGCUGCGGAGGCGACCUACGUAAAAGCUGGAAGGGACUGGCCCGCAGCCUCCACCAAGGGCGGGGGGACAGCCAUUCCCCACUGCCGAAACAGAAAACCGGGGCGCUGAUCUGGAUAAUUCUAAGCAGGAUAGGAGGAAACCUCCUUCUGUACAGUUAAAGUAACCCAGAAAGCUCGUGAUACUUUUCGAUUGGCGAAAGGCAGAGAUGGGAUGCUUUUCUGGCUUCCCCCAUGUCAGUGGGGCUGAGGACCUGAUUUCCGACAAACCUCUAAAAUCAGGCCGGCCAAAGAAUGUAGAAGGGGAGAAGGGAAAGGUCUUCUUCUCCUGCACAAGGUCACACAACUAGCACGUGACAGACCUGGGAUUGGAACCUGGCUCCAGAGGCCACACUUGUAUCCACUCUGCUACACCAGCUCAUGUGAAGGUGCCUCAUUUGGAUUCUAGUAGGAUGAGCUCGAGAGGCACUGGCUCCCUUGGGACCCACGAGAAGCUUUUAGCUACAGAAUAUACUCAAAUAGAUAUUUUUUUGUCUCACUUUCUUCAUCCGGAAAAUAAGAGUAAUAAAUAUUGCCUACCCCUGAGGACGAAACACGGAGCUUGUUUGGGAUAGGGCCCGCCCCGGCACAAACUGGAGAGCUCUGAGGGGCCAUUCAAAGUCAACAUUUUAAAAGUUAGGGUGGGCAAAUUCAGCCCUCAGGCUGUCAGUUUACUCCCUCAGAUUUAAUGAGCUGCUAUAUGCCGGGUACCUAAUUGGUACUUUAGAUAAAUUUUCUAAUGUCACCCUUCCAACACGCUGGGAGCUCAGUCACUUCCUGCUCAUUUGACCACAGUCAACAUGGCACUGCCCAGCCAGCACGGAGCCAGGAUCCACACCCAGACACUGAGACUCGAAAACCCAUGACCUCUCCCCGUCUCUGCCCUGCUUGUUGACAGCUGAAGGAAUCAACCUUUUUGGUGACAUGAAUUAACAUCAUCCAGCUGUCCAAAGGUAGACGUUAAUCAAAACGGUGAUGUCCUUUUGUUGGUUUGAAUCAACAAACGAGCCACUUGCUUUUCAAGGCUGCCUGCUAAUUCAGAAGAGCAAAGUCCGGUCAUCUGCACAACAGAGGUGUGACUGAUUUGCUGGGCAGGGUGGCAGACAGCUAAUAUACCUAAAACUUUGUCGUUAUUGAAAUCUAGGUUUGAAAGGAGAGGGUUCGAGGCACGGCCCUGUUAUACUCUAUUUAAAACUUAAACGCGAGUUCGUUAAAAUGAGUAAGUUCAUCAUCUACCGAUGAAUAAGAGAAAUCUUCAUCCUUAGGAAGCACACAGUCCAUUGGGGUAGGUAGGGAGAUAAUUUUUAUAGGAAAAAAAAAAAAAAAAACUGAGAAAAUGAAGAACCAAGUGCUGUCAGCUCCCAGGGGGGUUGGGACGGGCUCUGCCUGCAGGAGGGAUAGGCUGAGGACAGCUUCACAUCGGGAACAAUAGGAUGAAGUCGGGAGAGGGCGUGGGAUGCAGUGGUCCCCAGGCAGAGGGUGAGAUGCGUGCCAGGACCUUGAAAGAGGAUGGAACGUGUCUGAGGCUGCACCACGGGGUGUGUUGCGGGGAGUUUGUACCGAUGAGGGGUAUGUUAAGGGGACGCACAGAGACACCAGCAAAAGUUCUGGUCUCUGGGAUCUUAGGACCUCUACUGUCGUAUCCGUCAAAAAUUAAUGCUAAGAUCAGCCUACCCUAAAACCUCUUCCUGUUCUCCAUCCUGUCCAUUUGGAUUCCAGUCCUGCAAUUUGUUGAGACUAAACGAGGCAGGGAAUUUCAAGGAGGCGUCAAACUAACAGGUCUAGACCUGGGGAGAUAACCGUGACUUCCGGUGAGCACAGAAGUAAACAGGAAUAUUUUCUUUGGUACUCGGCUCCUGGCUAAGCAGGGCCUGAUUAGAGGGGACUCUCCAGAUGCCCAGGAGGGUGACGCGAUCAUCCCAGCUGUUUCAAGAAAGUUCAAAAGUUUCUGAGCUUACCUUGAGGAGACGCCUUUUCUGGUGCGUUCAUGAGCCACCUCUUCUGUGACAGGAGGACAGAGAAAGAUCGAGCCAUAAAGUUCAGAACACACUGACAACCUCUCAUACAGACGUGACCCAUCUGUCCACACAGUAUUCGGCAACGUAUCUCUGACUUGUGUUUUUGAGUCAACACAUAUCUGUCAAGCACCUCCUACCUGUGAAGGCUGACUGUGGUAGACACUUAAGGAGCAAGAGUCCUGCCCUCAAAAAGUCUGUCCUCUGACCGAGAGAAGACAUGUACACGAGUGACUUUAGACAAGUGCCAAUCACGUGACCGACGCUGUUAUAAGCGUUCAGAAAAGAGAGUGAUUGUUUCUUCUUUAGGCAGCAGAAAUGCUACCACAUGCUAGAGAAUGAGGUCACCUGACCCGAAGGGAAAAGCUGGAAAACCUUAGUGAUUUAACUGUCUUUUAAGAACAGAUAACAUCGAUAAUGAUAGUCGAUACUAUUUUGAUAAGUGUACAUGGUGACAGACGAUUACUAGAAUUAGUGAGGUGGGAAAAAAAAGCAAAAAAAAAAAAAAAUUGUUAAAAAAAAAAAAGAACGGAUACACCUGUUUUUGUCUCCUUCCUGGCUUUCCAGCUUCGUCUCAUUCAUUCGCUGUGUUCCCAUCACACUCGCCAUUUUUUUUUUAAAUGCCAGCAAGCCCCACGCUAUAGCCCUGAGCAUCCGCACUGGCCAUUCCUCCUCCCUGCAACACUCUCAGCCCUUCACGUGACGGGCCUCAACUACCUGUCACCUCACCAGGGACACCUGCCCCGACUCCUGAUGCCCUCGUCUCAGUAGAAGCUCCAUGAGAGCUGGAGCCUCGUCCGUCUGUAAAGCUCUGUCCCCAACACCUCGGAGAGAACAGUAAGUGCUCAAUAAAUACUUGUCACCGCAUCAACUCAAACUGAGAAACACCUGCACGUGUAAGUGUGUCUAAUUCCAGAGCGAAUAAAAAUAAAAGAAUUGUGAACAUAGGAGUGUUUAACUAGUCAACACGAUCAAUCUGAAGCUUCCCGAAGCAUUCACGGAUACUCUGCCUCGUGCAGCUUGUUCUCCAUUUUCAACAUUUGCUCAGCUCAGAGAAAGUUCAUCAGGAAAGAAAAAAAGUAACAUCCUCUGGACCCAAAAAAGUCUCCAGUACCUAUGUCUAACUUCCCCAGUCAUAACCGAUUUUCUUUAUUGUGUUUUUAGGGUUUUCCCUGUGGAGACAACUACUUCCGUCACCCUUGCCUCGCCCUAUUACCUACUUCUCGAUUUUUUUUCAGGGGAGAUUUUUCUCUGUGCUUUAGGAGCAUUUAACCAUAUGUUGGGGGUCGGUAUUGUAAAAAUUGGGCUCUAACGUGUGAUUUUUACUGUCAGAUUGACGUCUUAGCACCCAGCAGGCUGGCCUCCUCGCCACCUGACCUUCAUUCCCCUACCUGGGGCACCUGGUGGGGGGCGGUGUGCCAACCGGGGGCUUUCCCUAUAAUAUUCAAGCUCAGUCAUCAGAUAAAGGAAACAGGCAUGGUUUCCACUUCAUUCUUAAAAAAAAAAAAAAAAUUAAAAUAGCCAAACAAAAUUUCCAAAAUAUAUUUAGCAUAAACCCC